Molecule: ribosomal RNA, 878 nt
Filed under: uncultured eukaryote
Lineage: Eukaryota
Description: SSU rRNA
Rfam family: Eukaryotic small subunit ribosomal RNA
Source: RNAcentral
AGCCGCGGUAAUUCCAGCUCCAAUAGCGUAUACUAAAGUUGUUGCGGUUAAAAAGCUCGUAGUUGGAUCUUGGAAUGUGUUCAAGCGGGUCAGCUUCUGGCUGUGCGCUGCUUGACGUGUUCUUCUAUUUGGUUUUGGUGCGGUGCGCUUAACUGCGUGUCGCUCCCGGCCGAAACGUUUACCUUGAAAAAAUUAGAGUGUUCAAAGCAGACCUGUUUGAGUCUGAAUAUUCGUGCAUGGAAUAAUGAAAUAUGAAUUCGGUUCUAUUUUGUUGGUUUUCGGAACUCGAGUUAAUGAUCAAGAGGGACAGACGGGGGCAUUCGUACUCUGCCGUUAGAGGUGAAAUUCUUGGAUCGGCGGAAGACGCGCAACUGCGAAAGCAUUUGCCAAGAAUGUUUUCUUUAAUCAAGAACGAUAGUCGGAGAUUCGAAGACGAUCAGAUACCGUCCUAGUUUCGACUGUAAACUAUGCCAGCUAACGAUCAGACAGAGUUCUCUACGGCUUGUCUGGCAGUUUCCGGGAAACCAAAGCGUUUGGGUUCCGGGGGAAGUAUGGUUGCAAAGCUGAAACUUAAAGGAAUUGACGGAAGGGCACCACCAGGAGUGGAGCCUGCGGCUUAAUUUGACUCAACACGGGGAAACUCACCCGGCCCGGACACAGUGAGGAUUGACAGAUUGAGAGUUCUUUCUUGAUUCUGUGGGUGGUGGUGCAUGGCCGUUCUUAGUUGGUGGAGCGAUUUGUCUGGUUAAUUCCGAUAACGAACGAGACUCUGGCAUGUUAAAUAGUCGCGGAAGUGCGUAUGCACUUGCCGAAUUGACUUCUUAGAGGGACUAGUGAUUUUAAUUCACACGAGAUUGAGCAAUAACAGGUCUGUGAUG